Molecule: ribosomal RNA, 1854 nt
Filed under: Triticum aestivum (bread wheat)
Lineage: Eukaryota; Viridiplantae; Streptophyta; Magnoliopsida; Poales; Poaceae
Description: partial small subunit ribosomal RNA
Source: RNAcentral
AUGUGGACGUGCGCGUCCGAUUUUUCAUUUAGGCCGGCAGUUUCGAGCGACCGCGACCAGCCGCCCACACCCACACCGACGGUGGCCAUUCCGGCCCCGUCGGCCACCAAACCGCAGCCCUGCGUCCGGCCGGCCGGCAUGCUGCCGCCACCUCCUGUCGCGCUCCCCGCGGGCUCCGUGCAGCGCAUCAUCCCGCUGCCAUCCCCGUCCCCUGCUCAGUUGGAUCUGGAUCGGGAUCCAGCGCCGCCGCCAACGCUCGCCUGCCCUGCUGUGUCCGUGAUGCUCCCCCUGGCCGCGGCUGCACUCGCCUUCCGCAAGGCCGAUCCGGCCGUAGGUGGUCAUCUGGCCCAUGGUUGUUGUCUGCCAAGGACCGUGAAGACGAGCGCUACAGCGCGCCUGCCCGUCGUCCAUGCUACCAUGGCCGGCGCGUCCGUUCAGGAUCUGCACCUUCAGUCGACCCUGCAAUGUGGUUGUCCAACUCCGGCGGCUCAUGCUCUUCUCCAGUGCACUCUGCCCAUUCAAGAUCGGGAGAAUCGUGGUCCUGCUGGGCCGACAGUGACAUCUCCGAUCCUGCAGGCCACCACCACCGCUCUCCCUGCCAGCAACUCUGCCGACCAGCUGUCGCCGCCUCCGGCAUCGACUCCUGCAUCCCUGUCGACGGCUACGCCGAUUGAGUACACUGCUUCCCGAACGUCGUUGUCGUCGCCGCUGGCAUCAGGCGACUCUGCAAGCAUGUCUUGCACCGUCCCAGUCACUUCUCCCGUGCAUUCGGCUUGGGGAGAUUGGCUUGGAUGCUUCCGCAAGGAGAAGUCUCAAGCUGCUCUCAUGUGUUGUGCGCCGGCACCUCAUGAAGAUUCAUUUGGGGACUGGCACCUCGUCAAGGGGCGCCGUCAUUCACCAUCUUCAACAGGCUUCCGGCAUCCCGCUUCUAAUGCACAACCGACUCCUCCGGCGUGGCUGAGGGACCGAUGCUUUCGGUGCCUCUGCAGAGGUCAUCAUGCCUGCUCUUGCAGGGACCCAGUUCGGUGCAGGAACUGCCUUCGCUUUGGCCACAUUGCUCGCUUUUGCCGCGCAAAACAACCCAGGGACCAGACUAUGCCGCUAAGUCAUGUUACUCCACUGAAUCCACCAAUAUCUGCUCCUGCCAACGAUGCUACCCCGAUGUUUGCUCCUGCCAACGAUGCUACCCCGACAGAUGUACCGCAACAGUUGGUCCUCAUGGAGCAGGUUGUGCUGCUCCGCACCGAGCUGCAAGACUGCUUGGCGAGAGUUGGGAGUGUUUUGGCAAAUGUAGAGGCCGCUCUUGCCAAGCUCCAGGUUGUGCCUGUUAUGUCCCUGCUGCCCGAGAUCCAUGUUAAUUCGGCCGAUGAGGAAGCUGGCAUGUAUGGAGAUCUCUCCCCUCGCAGUGCAUCCUGCCCAUCGCCGUUGCCUAUCGUGCCAAUUACUUCUGGAAGUGAAGCUGUUAUCGAGGUCGUGGCUCCGGUGCUUCAGAUUAUGCAUGAGCUGCAAAAGCUUUGUGGGGAGCCCACUUCGCCUAUUUCGAUGAUGCUUCCUAUGGAGAUGGAGUCGCUUGGAGGGGCCUUGACGAUGCCGACCUCGACCUCACCACCGUCGUUGGAGCACAGUCAGCCACUCGCCUUUGUGGACCAUGAAGGGUUGGAUGUUGCUAUUGCUCUCUCACCUGUGGCUGUUGGCCAGGUGCCGUCUGUGGGUGUAGGUGCUUUGGCACCUAAUUCUGAGGCGCUAAAGUCCAUCCGGCCGCCCAUCUUUGACCGUGAUGGUAUGAGGCUGCCUACAUGGCACGCCAGCGUGGCAAAGGCCCGUUGUCAGCGCGACAAAGAUUGUGAAAAUUAA